GGGCAACCUGCCUCAUAGAGGGGAAUACCCUCCCGAAAGGGAGAGUAAUACCGCAUAAGAUUGUGGCUUCGCAUGAAGUAGCAAUUAAAGGAGCAAUCCGCUAUGAGAUGGGCCCGCGGCGCAUUAGCUAGUUGGUGAGGUAACGGCUCACCAAGGCGACGAUGCGUAGCCGACCUGAGAGGGUGAUCGGCCACAUUGGGACUGAGACACGGCCCAGACUCCUACGGGAGGCAGCAGUGGGGAAUAUUGCAUAAUGGGGGAAACCCUGAUGCAGCAACGCCGCGUGAGUGAUGACGGCCUUCGGGUUGUAAAGCUCUGUCUUCAGGGACGAUAAUGACGGUACCUGAGGAGGAAGCCACGGCUAACUACGUGCCAGCAGCCGCGGUAAUACGUAGGUGGCGAGCGUUGUCCGGAUUUACUGGGCGUAAAGGGAGCGUAGGCGGACUUUUAAGUGAGAUGUGAAAUACCCGGGCUCAACUUGGGUGCUGCAUUUCAAACUGGAAGUCUAGAGUGCAGGAGAAGAGAAUGGAAUUCCUAGUGUAGCGGUGAAAUGCGUAGAGAUUAGGAAGAACACCAGUGGCGAAGGCGAUUCUCUGGACUGUAACUGACGCUGAGGCUCGAAAGCGUGGGGAGCAAACAGGAUUAGAUACCCUG
RNAcentral lists this ribosomal RNA (654 nucleotides) under uncultured bacterium. RNAcentral describes it as "bacterial SSU rRNA". It matches the Rfam family "Bacterial small subunit ribosomal RNA", at positions 119 to 789 of the family's 1533-position model. The record is from RNAcentral.